AUGGUCAAGCUACAAAGGGCACAGGGUGAAUGCCUUGGCACUGGGAGCCGACGAAAGACGUGAUAAGCUGCGAAAAGCCACGGGGAGCUGCAAAUAAGCCUUGAUCCGUGGAUAUCUGAAUGGAGCAAUCCGGCGGAUGUAACGAUCCGUCAUGGCAUACUGAAUCCAUAGGUAUGUCAGGGGAACCGCCUGAACUGAAACAUCUAAGUAGGGCGAGGAAGAGAAAUCAACCGAGAUUCCGU
RNAcentral lists this ribosomal RNA (242 nucleotides) under Anaerotruncus colihominis. RNAcentral describes it as "partial 23S ribosomal RNA". It matches the Rfam family "Bacterial large subunit ribosomal RNA", at positions 1 to 240 of the family's 2925-position model. The record is from RNAcentral. Lineage: Bacteria; Bacillati; Bacillota; Clostridia; Eubacteriales; Oscillospiraceae.